Aedes albopictus (Asian tiger mosquito) is the source of this 1589-nucleotide RNA transcript. It is a transcript of the gene named peroxisomal membrane protein PEX14, with no coding region annotated. Lineage: Eukaryota; Metazoa; Arthropoda; Insecta; Diptera; Culicidae. The transcript has 7 exons. The record is from RefSeq and is a predicted model, not a curated record.
UCAGUUUCACAGCAGCUUUCAAAGGUUCAAAGUUGAAAUCGACCAGAAAUGUUUUUUUUUGUACAACUAAUUAAAGUUUUCACAUAUGCGUGUAAAAAGUGAAUAAAAUAUUUGCUAUUCAGUUAUUCAUCGUCUUCUACGCUGGAUGACAAACUAAUAAUUUACCAAGUCCAUUCGUAAAGUGUGCCAAGUGUUUCUCCAGAAUACAAACAUUAGUAUCCUAAUCUCAUUAGUGAGUUGCUUCAAGCUGCUUUCUUGUGUAUAAUUUGGUCUUUAUUGUUAGACUGAUAAGAAAGCAAAAAAAAAAAAGGAUUUAGAAGAUUGUACAAGCAACCUUCUUACUUGUCUGUGUGUAAAACCUAGCCGUUGUUACCUAGCUCGAACGUCAUUCAAGAUUAAUCUCUCAGUCGAAAUCAAUAUGAGCGAGGGCCAGGAGUCUCCACCGGGUGACAUGGAAGGUGUUCAAUCAACUGAACCACCGGUACCUCCUCUGAUACCGCCAAGGGAGCAUUUGAUUACCACGGCGAUCAAGUUUUUAAACAACCCCAAUGUAAUGCGCAGUGCCAUCACUCAGAAGCAAUCGUUCCUUCGGUCCAAGGGCCUGACAGAGGAGGAGAUACAGCUAGCCUGUGAGCGGGCUGGAGUGUUCACCAAAGACCCAAAUAUCCAAAGCCAAACGGUGAUCAGCAUGGGAGUCGGCACCUCCGGUGUUCCGGCAGGGUACUCAAAGACAAAUUACGUCAUCCAGUCGCGGCAGUCAUGGCUUGGCCGGGUGAAAGACAUGCUCAGCUCGGUGGCGCUCGUCAGUGGGCUGAUGUACGGCGUCUACCUCUUCUAUAAGAAAUUCAUAGAGCCACUAAUUUUCCGAGGCAAGAAGAAAAAACCAGUGGACGAACAGAUUGCUGAACUGAACCAAUCAGUGGAGGUGAAAAUUGAUAGUAUCAAUUUCGAAUUGAUCAAAAUCAAGGACGAACUCGCCCGGGUACAUCAAGCGCAAUCUACUGCUAAGGAACUGACAAGCUUUAAAAGUGAUCUAGAUUCCAUCAAAGGCUUACUAUUAAAUAGGAAACAAUUUGCCUCGCCCAACCUGCCAGUGAUGCCACCCUCUAUCCCUGCGUGGCAGCUACAGUCUCAGUCCCAAGAACGAAUACCCAACAGUGAGGGUGAUACUGAUAAGAAUGACGACAAUGACACCGGUUCCGGAUCCGGUUCCAGCGAAAACGACGUUGUGCUGAAAAACAGCGACAGCAGUUUAGAAAUAAUAUCUUAAGCGUGAAAGAGUGUUGCCAGAUCUUUUGGGAUGGUUUUAGUAGGAAUGGUUUUAAAUUUUGGUGGUUUGGGCGUAGUAGAGUAAGUCGUAAAAUCAAUUCAAUUGAAAGAUUUUUAGUUAGACCCUCUUCCCAUAUUGGUUCCAACAUUUCUUACAGGAGAACCGUUUGCUACUAGAAUAAAUGAAAGUUUCGCUACUAAAUUUAGUACAAAGGGCAUUUAUUUGAUUUGACUGAAAUACAAACGAAUUUUUAUGAGCGAUUCAUCCUGAAUGCAAAUGAAGAAAAAUAAAAUGGUGAAGUAAAUUAAUCAAACUUUAA